This 253-nucleotide ribosomal RNA is filed under the name uncultured bacterium. RNAcentral's name for it is "partial 16S ribosomal RNA". It matches the Rfam family "Bacterial small subunit ribosomal RNA", at positions 524 to 776 of the family's 1533-position model. The record is from RNAcentral.
UACGAAGGGGGCUAGCGUUGUUCGGAGUUACUGGGCGUAAAGGGUGUGUAGGCGGUUCUUUAAGUUUGGUGUGAAAUCUCCCGGCUCAACCGGGAGGGUGCGCCGAAUACUGAGGGACUAGAGUGCGGGAGAGGAAAGUGGAAUUCCUGGUGUAGCGGUGAAAUGCGUAGAUAUCAGGAGGAACACCGGUGGUGUAGACGGCUUUCUGGACCGUAACUGACGCUGAGACACGAAAGCGUGGGUAGCAAACAGG